This 497-nucleotide ribosomal RNA is filed under the name uncultured bacterium. Its description in RNAcentral is "partial 16S ribosomal RNA". It matches the Rfam family "Bacterial small subunit ribosomal RNA", at positions 28 to 507 of the family's 1533-position model. The record is from RNAcentral.
GAUGAACGCUGGCGGCGUGCCUAAUACAUGCAAGUCGAGCGAACAGACGAGGAGCUUGCUCCUCUGACGUUAUCGGCGGACGGGUGAGUAACACGUGGAUAACCUACCUAUAAGACUGGGAUAACUUCGGGAAACCGGAGCUAAUACCGGAUAAUAUAUUGAACCGCAUGGUUCAAUAGUGAAAGACGGUUUUGCUUUCACUUAUAGAUGGAUCCGCGCCGCAUUAGCUAGUUGGUAAGGUAACGGCUUACCCAGGCAACGAUGCGUAGCCGACCUGAGAGGGUGAUCGGCCAGACGGGAACUGAGAAACGGUCCAGACUCCUACGGGAGGCAGCAGUAGGGAAUCUUCCGCGAUGGGCGAAAGCCUGAUGGAGCAACGCCGCGUGAGUGAUGAAGGUCUUAGGACCGUAGAACUCUGUUAUUAGGGAAGAACAAAUGUGUAAGUAACUAUGCACGUCUUGACGGUACCUAAACAGAAAGCCACGGCUAACUACGUG